Molecule: RNA transcript, 4265 nt
Organism: Cucurbita moschata (crookneck pumpkin)
Lineage: Eukaryota; Viridiplantae; Streptophyta; Magnoliopsida; Cucurbitales; Cucurbitaceae
Gene name: UBP1-associated protein 2A-like
Exons: 2
Source: RefSeq, a predicted model, not a curated record
UGUGGACCGCCAUUUCCAGAGGUCCGAAAAAGCUCUCACAUCUCAAUUUCUGAUCCCCAGACCUAAUCCUCUUAUCGUCACUGCUUCCCUUUGCUUUCUUCAUUCUCUGCAAAACCCUAGACCCCCCGUCAAAGCUUCCUCUACUCUUCCAUGGCAAGGAAGCGAAAGCUCGACUCCUCUAAAUCCUCCGAGCCUCCUAAGAAGCUCCAACAGCAAGAAGCUCAAGCCGUCCUCGACGAGUCUAAGCCCCAGAAUGAACCCCUCAAGGAAGUCGUUGCUGAGGAUCUUUCGAAUUACGAGGUGGUCGAGGAAGAAGACGAUGCCGAUCAAGACGAUGAUAACGAGGGGGAGGAGGAGGAGGAGGAGGAGGAGGAUGACGAGGAGGAGGAGGAUGAUGAAGUCGAUGCGGAUGUCGAUAACCACCAUCAAGCCCCCAAUAUUUCCUCCUCCUCCGCCGCUGCUGCAACUACUUCUGACGACGACGACGAAGACGAGCCAAUUCACAAUCUCUUGGAUCCUUUCGGCAAGGACCAGCUUAUAAAUCUGCUUUGCGAAGCGUCGGAGAAGCAUGCGGAUGUGGCUGAAAGGAUUCGAACGGUUGCUGAUGCGGACCCGACCCAACGCAAGAUUUUUGUUCACGGGCUAGGAUGGGAUACAAAUGCCGAAACUUUGAUCAGUGUGUUCAAGGAAUAUGGUGAGAUUGAGGACUGCAAAGCUGUGUGUGAUAAGGUCUCUGGUAAGUCCAAGGGUUACGGUUUCAUCCUCUUCAAGAAGCGCAGUGGGGCUCGGAAAGCUCUGAAGGAACCCCAGAAGAAGAUUGGCAAUAGGAUGACUGCCUGUCAGUUGGCUUCGGUCGGGCCUGUUCCAACGUCUAGUGCGGUGGCAGCCCCCCAAGGACCACCUGCUUCCGAAUAUACGCAGAGGAAGAUUUAUGUGAGCAAUGUCGGAGCUGAUGUUGACCCCCAGAAGUUGCUCACUUUCUUUUCCCAGUUCGGUGAAGUUGAUGAAGGACCAUUGGGGCUUGACAAGACGACGGGUAAGCCUAAAGGUUUCUGUCUAUUUGUGUACAAGACGAUAGAAAGUGCGAGGAAGGCAUUGUUGGAGCCCCACAAAAAUUUUGAGGGUCAUGUCUUGCAUUGUCAGAAGGCGAUCGACGGUCCCAAGCCAGGGAAGUCUCAGCACCAGCAUCAUACACAAAAUGCGCCGUUUCAGAGGAAUAAGAAUCCUAAUUAUGCAGGUGGGGCGACAUCAGGAUCGGGACACUUGAUGGCGCCUGCAGGGCCUGGUGUUGGUUAUAACCAAGGACCUCCACAAGCAUUGAACCCGGCUCUUGGCCAGGCCCUUACUGCUUUGCUGGCGGGUCAGGGUGCUGGGUUGGGACUGACUAAUUUGUUAGGGACAAUCGGAUCUACUUCAGGGCUUAAUCCAGUCAUACAAGGCGCUGGACCUGGAGUACAAGGUGGGUAUGGGAGUCAAGCAAAUAUAAGCCCUGGAGUGAUGGGAUAUGGAAGUCAAAGUGGUGUGCAGGGUGGAUAUCCAACCCAACAUAUGGAACAGGGUGGAACUGGAAGAGGAGGGCAGCAUGGGGUUGGGCAGUAUGGUGGUCCUGGCGGUUAUAUGGGGCACUAGUGCCUCGAUGCGGUACAGAUUCACUCUCCUUAUACUCCUUAUUCUUUUGCUUUAUCUUAAUAUAUGUAUACUAACGUACUAAUCUUUGAAUGGUUGAGCUAUGGAAGAUAUUAGCUAUUGUUAUAGAAGGAUAUGACCUUAGAUUGAACAAAAAAUGGCAUUUGUGGAGUAAAAGAUUGGUUGGUUGAAAUACUUCUGUUGGUGACAGGACUAUUAGAUGAUCUCACUCAUAUGUGCGACAGUAUUUUUGUACUGAUCAGGUGAUUCUCUGAAGUUUAAGGAGCUGAUGCAAAUGACGUUUUCGACCCUCUUCAUUUAAGCUUUGUUUUAAAUCUGUAGUUUUUGAUCUAUUGAAGAUUUGUUUCAAAGAUUUGGAUCAGUUUUAGUACUUUUGAGUAAAACUAUGUAACCUCUAGCUCAAUGUUUGACCAAAAAUAUUUCAAACUCUUUCGCCCCUAUGGUUUUAAUAGAUCUUGCACUUGACAGUAAGGUUAUGGCUUAUUCUUUUUCAUUGAUUUCUUUUGUGAUUAUUCCAACUAAAAUUCUAUGCUUUGCAAGGGUUUAUUCCCAAUUACUAUUUACAUCUCUUAGCUUUAUUGCUCUUGAAAAUUUUGAAAUUCAUCUCUAUCUGGGUUUACAAUGAUAUUUUUCUUUUUAUGCUUUGGGAAACUGUAAAACGUGGGUUGUUUUAGUUUAUAUUUUUUACCUUUGGCAUUAAAAUCCUAGUCUGAGAAUCUGCUUAUCCAAAUUAUUUUCAUGGUUCAUCCCCUUCACAUCUUUUCUUCCUUGUGCAAGAGUUAGUUCUAGAAGCUAUUGUUAUUGUUCUUGAAAGGUUUCUGAUUUUAAAACAUGUAUCACACUGUCCUUUGAUCCACAAAUUUCAAUUUCCAUUGAGCUUUUUAUAUUGGUUUUACGUGUGGCUAGCUGAGGUCUGGAUCACAUAUUGUUUAUGCUAUGAGUUUGUGGUUUGCAUAUGAUAGUUAAUAUUAAUCUAAUCAGGUUGCUCGGUUGGAAUGAAGGGCUACUAUUUUGCAGGUUGUCUCCUUCGUAAGGUAUUUUCAUUCUUGUAUUUUUUUUCUUCGUAAAGCCUAGAGUUUCUUUUACAGCACCAAAGGCUCUGAGGGAUCGGUGCUAUCUUAUGCUAAAAAUCAUUUAUUUUUUGCAUUUUGUAUGUUUUCACUAGGAUGCUAUUAGGGUUAUAUGUUAUCUACAUUUAAAAAAAUAGAAACAGUAGUACUUCAAACUUUUGAAUUUACCAAGUUAGAGGGUUGGCUUUAGGUCUAUUAGACAUAGAUUUUAAUCCAAUGGGUUUAUUGAGUUCAUUAUCAUUUCCUUUAUAAUGUAUAAUACUAGGUCAUUAAUCUCGUUAAAGUGAUUACGUCAAGACUUGUCCAUCUUGUAAAAGUGAUUGUUCUCCUUUUCUUUUCUUGUUAUCACUUUUUCUCAUCAAGUUCGCCUGCACCAUUCAAAUCCUUUUUAUAUGUGUAAGCAUCUUCAUACUUUCAAUCUUAUGAAGAACAUACUUGCUUCAAUAUUUUUCAUGAGAUAAUUUUUUUUUUUGUUGAAUUUUAAUUUGUGGUGUUCUUUGAUUUGCUGAGUGAACUUCUUUGAUUUUUUGCUUUUUUCCAUCUCAAUAUGAUUUAUAAUCUAAGGGUAGGAGACAUGACUGGUGUGCCGUUUAAUCCUAGCAAUUGUUGAAUAUAUAUAUUUUUAUUAUCUUGGGAUAGACUGUGUGUGUAGGUUUAUCAAUGUCUUGUGGGCUUGCAAUUUCUAAAAGCUAGUCAGAAAAGUUCAUAGGUCUUGAGGAAAAAAAUGGGUUGCUUGACAGUGAUUCGUCUCCAUUUCCUUGUAUUCAUCUGUUUUAGCCGCUUUAAUACUCUCAAUUCAAAUCUUUCAUUAUCUAGUAUGUUGCGACAUUUAGUUUUCGAUUUAGUCACAGUUUUUGGAUCUGUAGAUUGCUCAUAGUCGUAGAAAUGUCUGAAGAACAUGAAUGUUGAUUUAGUCACAGCUUUUGGAUCUGUGGAUUGCUCUUAGUCAUAGAAACGUCUGAGGAGCAUGAAUGUCGAUUUAGUCACAGUUUUUGGAUCAGUGGAUUGCUCGUAGUCGUAGAAAUGUCUGAAGAGCAUGAAUGUCGAAAUAGUCACAGUUUUUGAAUCUAUGGAUUGCUCUUAGUCGUAGAAAUGUCUGAAGAGCAUGAAGGUCGAUUUAGUCGCAAGUUUUGGGUCAUUGGAUUGCUCUUAGUCGUAGAAAUGUCCGAAGAGCAUGAAGCUCGAUUUAGACACAAUUUUUGGAUCAGUGGAUUGUUGCUCUUAUUGAUAGAAAUGUCUGAAGAGCAUGACUAUCUUAGCUUAAUCUCAUUGGAGUCACUUUGAGAGAGAGUUUGGAAUGUAUUUGUUGUACUAACAAUAUUUGUAGUGUCUUCUUGGCUUUGUGUAUUUCAGCAUUUUAUGACGCAUAGAUAUUCCUUUUGAGAACCUCUGUUUUGAAGUUGGUUCACACGUCACAUGUGGAUGUAGGGAUAGAACAAGUCAGUAAUGGCGUUCACCUGAAUAGCCUUAUAAAUUAAAUGUCUUGGUUUGGUUUGUAUUAGAACUGGGUAGAGCCUGCAUGAAUGAAUCUUUUAAAAUUGAUCCUUA